This 433-nucleotide ribosomal RNA is filed under the name uncultured bacterium. Its description in RNAcentral is "partial 16S ribosomal RNA". It matches the Rfam family "Bacterial small subunit ribosomal RNA", at positions 29 to 507 of the family's 1533-position model. The record is from RNAcentral.
AGCGAACGCUGGCGGCAGGCCUAACACAUGCAAGUCGAACGAACUCUUCGGAGUUAGUGGCGGACGGGUGAGUAACACGUGGGAACGUGCCUUUAGGUUCGGAAUAACUCAGGGAAACUUGUGCUAAUACCGAAUGUGCCCUUCGGGGGAAAGAUUUAUCGCCUUUAGAGCGGCCCGCGUCUGAUUAGCUAGUUGGUGAGGUAAAGGCUCACCAAGGCGACGAUCAGUAGCUGGUCUGAGAGGAUGAUCAGCUACAUUGGGACUGAGACACGGCCCAAACUCCUACGGGAGGCAGCAGUGGGGAAUCUUGCGCAAUGGGCGAAAGCCUGACGCAGCCAUGCCGCGUGAAUGAUGAAGGUCUUAGGAUUGUAAAAUUCUUUCACCGGGGACGAUAAUGACGGUACCCGGAGAAGAAGCCCCGGCUAACUUCGUG